AGGUGGUGCAUGGUUGUCGUCAGCUCGUGUCGUGAGAUGUUGGGUUAAGUCCCGCAACGAGCGCAACCCUCGUUCUAUGUUGCCAGCACGUAAUGGUGGGAACUCAUGGGAGACUGCCGGGGUCAACUCGGAGGAAGGUGGGGAUGACGUCAAAUCAUCAUGCCCCUUAUGUCUUGGGCUUCACGCAUGCUACAAUGGCCGGUACAAAGGGCUGCAAUACCGUGAGGUGGAGCGAAUCCCAAAAAGCCGGUCCCAGUUCGGAUUGAGGUNUGCAACUCGACCUCAUGAAGUCGGAGUCGCUAGUAAU
RNAcentral lists this ribosomal RNA (307 nucleotides) under uncultured bacterium. RNAcentral describes it as "bacterial SSU rRNA". It matches the Rfam family "Bacterial small subunit ribosomal RNA", at positions 1036 to 1342 of the family's 1533-position model. The record is from RNAcentral.